This is a long non-coding RNA of Anguilla anguilla (European eel), 790 nucleotides long. RefSeq lists it as uncharacterized. The record is from RefSeq and is a predicted model, not a curated record. NCBI's taxonomy places the organism in Eukaryota, Metazoa, Chordata, Actinopteri, Anguilliformes, Anguillidae. The transcript is spliced from 4 exons.
GGCACCAACACAUGGAUAUGUCGCAGUCUGCUUUAACCCCAUUUUAUCCCCCACCUCCUCCCUCUCCCCCACCCCAAGCCUGCACCCCCCCCAAUCAAUCACAGUAUAGGGCCCCGCCUCUGCGGCGGGCGCCCCGUGGCAUUGCGUGCCCCGGCGGAGAGUAACCGCAACACACAAGACCCAGACCGCCAUGCAGCAGGAAGGCCCGCAGAACACCCCAAGCGGACGAUGCCGCUCCCACUCUGCGGCCCCACCCAUCCAGAAGGGACGUCCGUGCGGGAACUGCGACCAGUGGAUGGAAGCUGCCCGGUCUGGCUGGACCCAGAGAGCUAAUCCUGGGCUCAGAGGGAAACAGAUGCAGAUGCAAACAGCAAACAGCAUUGCUUUCAAAACGAGUUCCAAAGUUGCUUGUGACCAGCACUGGUGUGCAAUCCAAAGGCAAGAACAUGACAUCACGCCUCUGCACUUGACUGUACGAUCAUGAGCAACGUUCACCACACAGGGUCCAGUAUGUAAAAUGUCCCCCAGAUGACGCACCUAGUCAGGAGGUGGGCGGCUCUACAGGUGUCUCUCCACCCCCCAUGAGAAGCUGUUACUGCAUCCCUUAAGUCUGGCAUGAUCGUCCUCAGCAAUGUUAGCAUGGUGAAUGGCAGUUCGAACGAAGAGCACUUCAACACCCCAUUGUUCAGUACAGAGGAUGACAAAAUGCUGCCAUUGCUGACUUUCAUGCCAGUUUUUGAUAAAUGAAUUUUGAUUGAAUAUAAUAAAAAAUGCCACGUUUGCAUCCCCA